Long non-coding RNA from Photinus pyralis (common eastern firefly), 835 nucleotides. RefSeq lists it as uncharacterized. The transcript has 4 exons. The record is from RefSeq and is a predicted model, not a curated record. Lineage: Eukaryota; Metazoa; Arthropoda; Insecta; Coleoptera; Lampyridae.
UUUGGAACAAAAAUUUAUAACAUUUUCAAUACUUAUCUACAACCUUUGUGCAAGCAAACAUUUCAAACUGAGGAACACUAGCCGAAAUAGGCCCAUAUGCAUUGAAAGCAAAAGCAAUAACAUCACUUAAAAUACACAUGUACUUACUUUCGUCACAAAGUUCAAGGAGAAAACGGAAUAUUUUGCAUAAAUAAGUCAGUAAUGCUAAUUAAAGGCGCUGGUUGUAACUGGUUUCUCUUUAUCCACAACUUGAAUCAAACUAAAACAAAAGCAUUAUAGGACUGCGAGAAUGUGAAGAAAAUCUUUUGACAAAAUGUAAUGUAAGUACCUACUUCUGCCCGAUGGCAAGUACCAAUAAUGAGUUGUUUACCGAAAAAGUGACACCGACCGUCUUUAUCGCAAAUCUAUGUACACAAACAAGUAAAUUGAAGUCAUCGCACUCGCACAAGUGGCUGCAGAUAUCUACUGUGAGCUCUCUUACAGAUUGUAAGUGGAUAAAAAUUAUACAGAGUGAUCACCAAUCAGUACUCGAACCAUUCGAGUGGGAUUGAAAUCGACUGACGCCAAAUGAGAGGUGGACGCCCAAAUGGACCGAAAAACCCCAGCACAAGAGAAGUACGGGGCCUGAUAAAAUCGGUCUCAGUUAUCAACAGAAUAACGACUAAGAGAACGGCAACAAAUCAGAAACUUGAUUUUAUUUAGGUAUUGGGGGUGGCAGUGGUGUUUAGGGGUACUAACUUCCGGGGAUAUUUUUUCAAUACAACGUUUCGUUUCGGAGAAGAAAUCACCAAUUUUAUUUUUAGCGCCUUUUCUAAGAAUUAAAAAAAAAGUGCCA